GUGGGGAAUAUUGCACAAUGGGCGAAAGCCUGAUGCAGCAAUGCCGCGUGAGUGAUGAAGGCCUUAGGGUUGUAAAGCUCUUUUACCAGGGAUGAUAAUGACAGUACCUGGAGAAUAAGCUCCGGCUAACUCCGUGCCAGCAGCCGCGGUAAUACGGAGGGAGCUAGCGUUGUUCGGAAUUACUGGGCGUAAAGCGCGCGUAGGCGGCUCAGCAAGUCAGGGGUGAAAUCCCGGGGCUCAACCUCGGAACUGCCUUUGAUACUGGAUGUCUUGAGUGUGAGAGAGGUGUGUGGAACUCCGAGUGUAGAGGUGAAAUUCGUAGAUAUUCGGAAGAACACCAGUGGCGAAGGCGACACACUGGCUCAUUACUGACGCUGAGGCGCGAAAGCGUGGGGAGCAAACAGGAUUAGAAACCCCGGUAGUCC
This 425-nucleotide ribosomal RNA is filed under the name uncultured bacterium. RNAcentral describes it as "partial 16S ribosomal RNA". It matches the Rfam family "Bacterial small subunit ribosomal RNA", at positions 354 to 796 of the family's 1533-position model. The record is from RNAcentral.